RNAcentral lists this long non-coding RNA (932 nucleotides) under Trifolium pratense (red clover). RNAcentral's name for it is "long non-coding RNA (TPRA_LNC009138)". The record is from RNAcentral. Lineage: Eukaryota; Viridiplantae; Streptophyta; Magnoliopsida; Fabales; Fabaceae.
CUCAAUCUACCUAAUUGGUAUUCUUCUAUCAUCACUGCUUUCUAGACAACUCUUUUUGGUGAUAUUUUAGCUAAACAAUGUAUUGGCAAGAAUUUUUUCUACCAAAAAUUCAAAUUCGAAUUCUUCCGAAUAAUUUUCUUUAGGAAAAACUCAUUAAUCACUUGAACUCAGUGUCUUGGUUUGUUUGAUUGUAAUUUUCUUAAUGCCCUCCUUGUGUUGGAUCGUCAAGGUUUUAUCAUUUUCCAUUUAAUUAGUUAAUACUCCCUCCGUCUCAAAAUUAUUGUCACAAUUUGACUAUGUCCACUAUUCAUACAUGCUACUUUGACUUAUAUUUUUUUUUAUUAAUGUAUAAAGAUAAAUAUUAGCAUAUCAAAUCUUGUUAGAUUUGUCUCGAUGAGUACUAUCAAAAUAUCAAUUUUUCAAAAUUUUUAAUAAUACACAAUUAAAAAUAUUAACGAUAAUGUGCAGUAGUAAAAUGUGACAAUUAUUUUGGGACGGAGGGAGUACAAGCCUCUAAUUAUAUAAAAAACAAAAAAUUAAGGGAAUAAAUGCGUAAUAAUUUAUAAAAUUUAGCCUAUAGAUUAUCAUCUUAAUUGUUUUUGCAUGUUACACAUUAAAAUCACUAUUAAUUUUUGCAUUUGUAUUAAACUAAUAAAUCUACUAAAUCUUUUACAAGUAUGAAAACUAACAAGAAUUAAUUAUUUCACGAUAACAAGGAUUCUAAGCUUGUUGCGAGAUAACGGUCUUUAACCUAGCUACACAUCCACCGGAUUUUCAUGGGUUAUAUCCGUCAAAAUAGGAGUUGUUGUUCAAAUCAAGUUUAGAUAUGAAUAAACUUGAUUAGUUAUGUUUCAAGUAGGCAUGGCAAUGGGUACCCGCGGGUACGGUUUUUACCUUCCCCGUUCUUCAUACCCGAAUCAUUGAUAAAUAUC